Molecule: ribosomal RNA, 397 nt
Filed under: uncultured bacterium
Lineage: Bacteria
Description: bacterial SSU rRNA
Rfam family: Bacterial small subunit ribosomal RNA
Source: RNAcentral
AUUGAACGCUGGCGGCAUGCUUUACACAUGCAAGUCGAGCGGCAGCGCGGGGGCAACCCUGGCGGCGAGCGGCGAACGGGUGAGUAAUGCAUCGGAACGUACCCUGGAGUGGGGGGAUAACGCCGCGAAAGCGGCGCUAAUACCGCAUAUGCUCUGAGGAGGAAAGUGGGGGACCGCAAGGCCUCACGCUCUGGGAGCGGCCGAUGUCCGAUUAGCUAGUUGGUGAGGUAAAGGCUUACCAAGGCGACGAUCGGUAGCUGGUCUGAGAGGAUGAUCAGCCACACUGGGACUGAGACACGGCCCAGACUCCUACGGGAGGCAGCAGUGGGGAAUUUUGGACAAUGGGGGCAACCCUGAUCCAGCCAUGCCGCGUGAGUGAAGAAGGCCUGGUUGUAAG